CCUAAAUUUCCCAUGGCAGACUGCUCAAUAACACAUGAUCAACUUACCCUAUAGAGAAAAAUAACCUCGGGAAACUGAGGAUAAUAUUUCAUAGUUGAAAAGGCUUGGAAAAGUUUUUCGACUAAAGGGAUAAAAAAAAAUGGUUUUUAUCCGCUAUAGGAUAGGAUCGUGGUCGAUUAUGGUCGUUGGUGAGGUAAUGGCUCACCAAGCCGAUAAUCGAUAGGGGCCGUGAGAGCGGGAGCCCCGAGAUGGGUACUGAGACAACGACCCAGGCCUUACGAGGCGCAGCAGGCGCGGAACCUCCGCAAUACACGAAAGUGUGACGGGGUUACCCAAAGUGUUCAAUAUUGAACUGUGGUAGGUGAGUAAUGUCCCCUACUAGAAAGGAGAGGGCAAGGCUGGUGCCAGCCGCCGCGGUAAAACCAGCUCUUCAAGUGGUCGGGAUAAUUAUUGGGCUUAAAGUGUCCGUAGCCGGUUUAGUAAGUUCCUGGUAAAAUCGGGUAGCUUAACUAUCUGCAUGCUAGGAAUACUGCUAUACUAGAGGACGGGAGAGGUCUGAGGUACUACAGGGGUAGGGGUGAAAUCUUAUAAUCCUUGUAGGACCACCAGUGGCGAAGGCGUCAGACUGGAACGUGCCUGACGGUGAGGGACGAAAGCCAGGGGAGCGAACCGGAUUAGAUACCCGGGUAGUCCUGGCCGUAAACGAUGCAUACUAGGUGAUGGCAUGGCCAUGAGCCGUGUCAGUGCCGUAGGGAAACCGUUAAGUGUGCCGCCUGGGAAGUACGGUCGCAAGGCUAAAACUUAAAGGAAUUGGCGGGGGAGCACCACAAGGGGUGAAGCCUGCGGUUCAAUUGGA
This 856-nucleotide ribosomal RNA is filed under the name uncultured archaeon. Its description in RNAcentral is "bacterial SSU rRNA". It matches the Rfam family "Archaeal small subunit ribosomal RNA", at positions 67 to 910 of the family's 1478-position model. The record is from RNAcentral.